RNAcentral lists this transfer RNA (1361 nucleotides) under Marmota monax (woodchuck). The record is from RNAcentral. Lineage: Eukaryota; Metazoa; Chordata; Mammalia; Rodentia; Sciuridae.
AUAAUAUGUAUAUAUAUAUUGAUAUAUAAUGUACAAUGUAUAUAUAUAAAAUUUUGGGGGGAUGCUGGGGAUUGAACCCAGGGUCCUGUGCAUGCUAAGCACACACUUUACCACUGAGCUACACCCCCAGCCCCAGAAAAACAUUUUGAAGCACAAAAUUUUGUCUUUUAAAUAAUGCACAUGUAUAUUUCUAUGUGAGCUUGUCUUCUAAAUUCAUUUACCCCUCAGAAAUGUAUUGAUCAUCUACUGCUUGCAGUAAAAGCAAUGAGCAAAACCAAAAUUUGGAGGGAUAUGAAUAAGAGACGGUAAGCACAUGAAGAAAAGAAGUGGUUGUGGGGUGUGAGAGUCACACAAGGAUUAGCCUUGGAGAAAGUGCUGGGAUUCUGGUGGUGAACAGGAAUGUGGGCAUGCUGAAAUUGGUCCCAAAGAGGCCAGUGCAAACUGUGAUGCUCUAAUGAGGAUCAGGGAGGGGAGGCUCAGAGCCAGCAACCUGCAGAGUGUGGACCAGUGGUGACCUGGAGGCUGAAGGUGCAGUUGAACCAAACAUGCCCUUUUGCUGUCCUCAAACAUAAAGAGAUCAAGUAGAAAGUUCCUUUUCAUUAACUUCUUUUGAAAAAAUGAUAUGCUUCAAAUGUCAGUUUUCAUCCAUUUAAAUUACACAAUUUAGUGAUUUUUGUUAAGUUGCACAACCACCUCCACCAUCUAAUUCCAGAACAUUUUCAUCAUCCCCAAAAGAACCCUGUACCGUGUGCAAUCAUUCCUCUGUUCCCCUCAACUCCCAGCCCAAGACAAACACUACUAAGCUUUGUCUCUAUGGAUUUUCUGUACUUUGCACAUUUCAUGUAAAUGGAAUCAUGAUAGGAAGCCAUUGUGUCUGGCUCUACCUUAGCAUAAUGUUUUCAAGAGUCAUUCCUGUUGUGUUAUAUUAUCAGUUUUCCAUCCCUUUUUUGAGGUAUGCUAUUUCAUUGUAUGGAUACACCAGAUAUUGCUUAUCCAUUUGCAAGCUGAUGGACAUUGGAAUACCUCUUCCUUUUGGCUAUGGUGAAUACUUAUAUGAACAGCCAUGUACAAGGUUUUGUGUAGCCACAUAUUUCCAUUACUCUUGGUUAAUUAUCUAGGUUUGCUAACUCCUUUAUAUGAAAAUGCUUAAUGCUUCUUUCUAUUUUUUUUCAUAUGAAUGUAAUGGGAAAAUAAGAGGAGGGCUAAAUUCCUAUCACCUUCGUGGCAAUAAAAAGUAUCUAGCUCUUGCUUGAGGCUAUGGCAAUUCUGAAAGGAUUAACUGAGACUACUUCUCCCAACCUUUGUUGCUUACUUAUCACCUUCAAAUUUCCCAGAUGAAAAUCUCCAAUGGUUGAUCUCCA